Drosophila santomea is the source of this 547-nucleotide long non-coding RNA. RefSeq lists it as uncharacterized. The record is from RefSeq and is a predicted model, not a curated record. Lineage: Eukaryota; Metazoa; Arthropoda; Insecta; Diptera; Drosophilidae. The transcript is spliced from 3 exons.
CUAAGUUUGGCUAAUUUAUGGCGAAAAAGCCGAUUAAAAAUAUCACGUUUUUGGCAAAAAAUAAGAAAGGGAAAUUUCUAGUUGAACCAACGAACUAAAUCGUCUUAAUUUCUGCCCCUGUUAUUGAUGAUGAUGAUGCCGACGAUGCUUGAGGGAUUGCGGUUAGCUACAUGCGUGGAAAAGCAGCAGCAGCAGCAAUAGAAGCAGCAUCAUGCAACAACCCAGCAGCAACAUGCAACAUGCAACCAGCAAGCAGCGGACCAAUGCCCCAUGUCCGAGCGUUUUGCACACAUGCACCGGCAGCACACAUUCCGCAUUGCAAUCUUGCUAAUUGCUUGCUGAACGCAUAUGGCCCUGCUAAUGUUUGGCCAAAACGCCAGAUGUUAACCGACCUGCCCAUUACCCUGGUGUGGCUGAGAAACUCUCCAGUGGAAUCACAUCCACCGGAUGUCUGAUAGCCCCGCAGGAUUACUGGGCUUCGACCGGGUUUCUUUUGAGGAUUCUCGCCCAGACUUGACCCGGUUUUCCAUUUUGGAUAUACACACAG